RNAcentral lists this transfer RNA (75 nucleotides) under Alphaproteobacteria bacterium. RNAcentral describes it as "tRNA-Thr". It matches the Rfam family "tRNA". From Rfam's summary of the family: Transfer RNA (tRNA) molecules are approximately 80 nucleotides in length. Their secondary structure includes four short double-helical elements and three loops (D, anti-codon, and T loops). Further hydrogen bonds mediate the characteristic L-shaped molecular structure. tRNAs have two regions of fundamental functional importance: the anti-codon, which is responsible for specific mRNA codon recognition, and the 3' end, to which the tRNAs corresponding amino acid is attached (by aminoacyl-tRNA synthetases). tRNAs cope with the degeneracy of the genetic code in two manners: having more than one tRNA (with a specific anti-codon) for a particular amino acid; and 'wobble' base-pairing, i.e. permitting non-standard base-pairing at the 3rd anti-codon position. Lineage: Bacteria; Pseudomonadati; Pseudomonadota; Alphaproteobacteria. RNAcentral also lists the same sequence under 2 other names. The record is from RNAcentral.
GCCGCAGUAGCUCAGUGGUAGAGCGCAUCAUUGGUAAUGAUGAGGUCGGCAGUUCAAUCCUGCCUUGCGGCACCA